UCCGGUCGCCAUAGCGAAGGGGAAACACCCGUUCCCAUCCCGAACACGGCAGUUAAGCCCUUCAGCGCCGAUGGUACUGUGACCGACGGCGUCACGGGAGAGUAGGACGCGGCCGGGG
This 118-nucleotide ribosomal RNA is filed under the name bacterium. The record is from RNAcentral.